Molecule: ribosomal RNA, 304 nt
Filed under: uncultured bacterium
Lineage: Bacteria
Description: partial 16S ribosomal RNA
Rfam family: Bacterial small subunit ribosomal RNA
Source: RNAcentral
CAGCAGUCGCCGCGGGAAUACGAAGGGUGCAAGCGUUAAUCGGAAUUACUGGGCGUAAAGCGUGCGUAGGCGGUUUGUUAAGUCUGUUGUGAAAUCCCCGGGCUCAACCUGGGAAUGGCAAUGGAUACUGGCAAGCUAGAGUGUGUCAGAGGAUGGUGGAAUUCCCGGUGUAGCGGUGAAAUGCGUAGAGAUCGGGAGGAACAUCAGUGGUGAAGGCGGCCAUCUGGGACAACACUGACGCUGAGGCACGAAAGCGUGGGGAGCAAACAGGAUUAGAUACCCGCGUAGUCCCUGUCUCUUAUAC